GCCUGCCCAGUGACCAUGUGUUCAACGGCCGCGGUAUUCUGACCGCGCGAAGGUAGCGUAAUCACUUGUCUUCUAAAUAAAGACUAGUAUGAACGGCCACACGAAGACUUAACUGUCUCCCCUGUCCAAUCAGUGAAACUGAUCUCCUUGUGCAGAAGCGAGGAUGAACCCAUAAGACGAGAAGACCCUAUGGAGCUUUAAACUCAAUAUUAACUAUUUUUAUAAUCCCCUCUAAGGAAUUAACAAAUAACCCUUUUCAACUUAAUAUUAGUUUUAGGUUGGGGCGACCAUGGAGAAAAAAAUAUCCUCCCUGAUGACUUUUAAACCAAGAGCUACAGCUCUAAGUAUUAAGAUACUUAACUUCCAUUGACCCAUUUUAUGAUCAACGAACCAAGUUACCCUAGGGAUAACAGCGCAAUCCAUUUCAAGAGUCCCUAUCGACAAAUGGGUUUACGACCUCGAUGUUGGAUCAGGGCAUCCCAGUGGUGCAACCGCUACUAAUGGUUCGUUUGUUCAACGAUUAAAGCCCU
This 530-nucleotide ribosomal RNA is filed under the name Megophrys sp. 14 JMC-2016. RNAcentral describes it as "partial 16S ribosomal RNA". It matches the Rfam family "Bacterial large subunit ribosomal RNA", at positions 1857 to 2597 of the family's 2925-position model. The record is from RNAcentral. Lineage: Eukaryota; Metazoa; Chordata; Amphibia; Anura; Megophryidae. RNAcentral also lists the same sequence under 1 other name.